CUUCAACGACCCCAGGUACAACGGUCGUUCGUCGUGCCGCUGUUGUCCGUACGUGGCCAGCAACGCGUGCGCCUC
RNAcentral lists this antisense RNA (75 nucleotides) under Streptomyces sp. MUSC 125. Its description in RNAcentral is "ASpks sRNA". It matches the Rfam family "ASpks TB sRNA". The record is from RNAcentral. Lineage: Bacteria; Bacillati; Actinomycetota; Actinomycetes; Kitasatosporales; Streptomycetaceae.